Molecule: ribosomal RNA, 405 nt
Filed under: uncultured Methylocella sp.
Lineage: Bacteria; Pseudomonadati; Pseudomonadota; Alphaproteobacteria; Hyphomicrobiales; Beijerinckiaceae
Description: bacterial SSU rRNA
Rfam family: Bacterial small subunit ribosomal RNA
Source: RNAcentral
GUGGGGAAUAUUGGACAAUGGGCGCAAGCCUGAUCCAGCCAUGCCGCGUGAGUGAUGAAGGCCCUAGGGUUGUAAAGCUCUUUUACCUGGGAAGAUAAUGACGGUACCAGGGGAAUAAGCCCCGGCUAACUUCGUGCCAGCAGCCGCGGUAAUACGAAGGGGGCUAGCGUUGUUCGGAAUCACUGGGCGUAAAGCGCACGUAGGCGGGAAGCUAAGUCAGGGGUGAAAUCCCGGGGCUCAACCUCGGAACGGCCUUUGAUACUGGUUUUCUUGAGUCCGGGAGAGGUGAGUGGAACUGCGAGUGUAGAGGUGAAAUUCGUAGAUAUUCGCAAGAACACCAGUGGCGAAGGCGGCUCACUGGCCCGGAACUGACGCUGAGGUGCGAAAGCGUGGGGAGCAAACAGG